RNAcentral lists this ribosomal RNA (1154 nucleotides) under Escherichia coli. RNAcentral's name for it is "partial 23S ribosomal RNA". It matches the Rfam family "Bacterial large subunit ribosomal RNA", at positions 418 to 1575 of the family's 2925-position model. The record is from RNAcentral. Lineage: Bacteria; Pseudomonadati; Pseudomonadota; Gammaproteobacteria; Enterobacterales; Enterobacteriaceae.
CGGGACACGUGGUAUCCUGUCUGAAUAUGGGGGGACCAUCCUCCAAGGCUAAAUACUCCUGACUGACCGAUAGUGAACCAGUACCGUGAGGGAAAGGCGAAAAGAACCCCGGCGAGGGGAGUGAAAAAGAACCUGAAACCGUGUACGUACAAGCAGUGGGAGCACGCUUAGGCGUGUGACUGCGUACCUUUUGUAUAAUGGGUCAGCGACUUAUAUUCUGUAGCAAGGUUAACCGAAUAGGGGAGCCGAAGGGAAACCGAGUCUUAACUGGGCGUUAAGUUGCAGGGUAUAGACCCGAAACCCGGUGAUCUAGCCAUGGGCAGGUUGAAGGUUGGGUAACACUAACUGGAGGACCGAACCGACUAAUGUUGAAAAAUUAGCGGAUGACUUGUGGCUGGGGGUGAAAGGCCAAUCAAACCGGGAGAUAGCUGGUUCUCCCCGAAAGCUAUUUAGGUAGCGCCUCGUGAAUUCAUCUCCGGGGGUAGAGCACUGUUUCGGCAAGGGGGUCAUCCCGACUUACCAACCCGAUGCAAACUGCGAAUACCGGAGAAUGUUAUCACGGGAGACACACGGCGGGUGCUAACGUCCGUCGUGAAGAGGGAAACAACCCAGACCGCCAGCUAAGGUCCCAAAGUCAUGGUUAAGUGGGAAACGAUGUGGGAAGGCCCAGACAGCCAGGAUGUUGGCUUAGAAGCAGCCAUCAUUUAAAGAAAGCGUAAUAGCUCACUGGUCGAGUCGGCCUGCGCGGAAGAUGUAACGGGGCUAAACCAUGCACCGAAGCUGCGGCAGCGACGCUUAUGCGUUGUUGGGUAGGGGAGCGUUCUGUAAGCCUGCGAAGGUGUGCUGUGAGGCAUGCUGGAGGUAUCAGAAGUGCGAAUGCUGACAUAAGUAACGAUAAAGCGGGUGAAAAGCCCGCUCGCCGGAAGACCAAGGGUUCCUGUCCAACGUUAAUCGGGGCAGGGUGAGUCGACCCCUAAGGCGAGGCCGAAAGGCGUAGUCGAUGGGAAACAGGUUAAUAUUCCUGUACUUGGUGUUACUGCGAAGGGGGGACGGAGAAGGCUAUGUUGGCCGGGCGACGGUUGUCCCGGUUUAAGCGUGUAGGCUGGUUUUCCAGGCAAAUCCGGAAAAUCAAGGCUGAGGCGUGAUGACGAGGC